GACGAACGCUGGCGGCGUGCUUAACACAUGCAAGUCGUACGGUAAGGCCCUUUCGGGGGUACACGAGUGGCGAACGGGUGAGUAACACGUGAGUAACCUGCCCACAACUUUGGGAUAACGCUAGGAAACUGGUGCUAAUACUGGAUAUGUGCUCCUGCUGCAUGGUGGGGGUUGGAAAGCUCCGGCGGUUGUGGAUGGACUCGCGGCCUAUCAGCUUGUUGGUGGGGUAGUGGCCUACCAAGGCGGCGACGGGUAGCCGGCCUGAGAGGGUGACCGGCCACAUUGGGACUGAGAUACGGCCCAGACUCCUACGGGAGGCAGCAGUGGGGAAUAUUGCACAAUGGGCGCAAGCCUGAUGCAGCAACGCCGCGUGCGGGAUGACGGCCUUCGGGUUGUAAACCGCUUUCAGCAGGGACGAAGCUUUUUGUGACGGUACCUGCAGAAGAAGCACGGGCUAACUACGUG
Molecule: ribosomal RNA, 465 nt
Filed under: uncultured bacterium
Lineage: Bacteria
Description: partial 16S ribosomal RNA
Rfam family: Bacterial small subunit ribosomal RNA
Source: RNAcentral